GGCUAGAAUUGCAUCGUAACAGUGUGGUCACACUGGUAAGAAAUGCAGAUUGGCAAUCAUGUACAUCUCUGAUUAAAACAACACUCACAUAACCAACACAAUUUGCUAGGCCAAAGUCUUCACGGGCAAUCCCUGGGGUGGGAGUCUGGGAUGGGGUGGAUAAUGAAGGAUACCUGGGGUUGCAGAAGUGGGGUGGGAAUCCCUGGGGCAUCAGUCCACAGGAGGUGGGGGCCAGCGAUGGCUUCAGGGGUGAUAUUUCCAAUAUAUAUCAGCCCUGGGCACUCUCGCCCUGCUGCUCACAGCAUGGUCCUCACACCAGCAGCCUCCGCCUUACCUGGGAGCUUGUUAGAAAUGCAGGAUCUCCCAGAUCUAUUGAGUUAGAAGCUGUAUUAACAAGAUCCCCAGUGAUUUUUAUGCACAAUCAAGUUUGUGAGGCACCGCUGCAGACUUCUGAGUGCAGGAAUGCGGCAGCCCUGGGUAGGUGUGGUUAGAAGGCCUGGACGGGGAGGCUGUGCGGAGGGGAUGAUGAAAGCAUGGGUGAGGGGAGAAGACCCUAAACAGCUGUCUUUGUCGAGUCCUUGGGAAGGGAAGUCAGGAGCGUGUUGCUGGGUUCCUCACUCC
Molecule: long non-coding RNA, 621 nt
Filed under: Homo sapiens (human)
Lineage: Eukaryota; Metazoa; Chordata; Mammalia; Primates; Hominidae
Description: HSALNT0055178
Source: RNAcentral